This 404-nucleotide ribosomal RNA is filed under the name Actinomycetes bacterium. Its description in RNAcentral is "Actinobacteria bacterium partial 16S ribosomal RNA". It matches the Rfam family "Bacterial small subunit ribosomal RNA", at positions 355 to 776 of the family's 1533-position model. The record is from RNAcentral. Lineage: Bacteria; Bacillati; Actinomycetota; Actinomycetes.
UGGGGAAUAUUGGACAAUGGGCGCAAGCCUGAUCCAGCCAUGCCGCGUGAGUGAUGAAGGCCCUAGGGUUGUAAAGCUCUUUCACCGGUGAAGAUAAUGACGGUAACCGGAGAAGAAGCCCCGGCUAACUUCGUGCCAGCAGCCGCGGUAAUACGAAGGGGGCUAGCGUUGUUCGGAUUUACUGGGCGUAAAGCGCACGUAGGCGGACUUUUAAGUCAGGGGUGAAAUCCCGGGGCUCAACCCCGGAACUGCCUUUGAUACUGGAAGUCUUGAGUAUGGUAGAGGUGAGUGGAAUUCCGGGUGGAGAGGUGAAAUUCGUAGAUAUUCGGAGGAACACCAGUGGCGAAGGCGGCUCACUGGACCAUUACUGGCGCUGAGGUGCGAAAGCGUGGGGAGCAAACAGG